This 254-nucleotide ribosomal RNA is filed under the name uncultured bacterium. RNAcentral's name for it is "partial 16S ribosomal RNA". It matches the Rfam family "Bacterial small subunit ribosomal RNA", at positions 524 to 776 of the family's 1533-position model. The record is from RNAcentral.
UACGAAGGGGGCUAGCGUUGCUCGGAAUCACUGGGCGUAAAGCGCACGUAGGCGGAUCUUUUAAGUCAGGGGUGAAAUCCCGGAGCUCAACUCCGGAACUGCCUUUGAUACUGGAGAUCUUGAGUCCGGGAGAGGUGAGUGGAACUGCGAGUGUAGAGGUGAAAUUCGUAGAUAUUCGCAAGAACACCAGUGGCGAAGGCGGCUCACUGGCCCGGUACUGACGCUGAGGUGCGAAAGCGUGGGGAGCAAACAGG